CGACCGGCGCACGGGUGAGUAACACGUAUCCAACCUGCCGAUAACUCGGGGAUAGCCUUUCGAAAAGAAAGAUUAAUAUCCGAUAGCAUAUCAANAUCGCAUGAUCUUGAUAUUAAAGAAUUUUCGGUUAUCGAUGGGGAUGCGUUCCAUUAGUUAGUUGGCGGGGUAACGGCCCACCAAGACGACGAUGGAUAGGGGUUCUGAGAGGAAGGUCCCCCACAUUGGAACUGAGACACGGUCCAAACUCCUACGGAAGGCAGCAG
This 263-nucleotide ribosomal RNA is filed under the name uncultured bacterium. Its description in RNAcentral is "partial 16S ribosomal RNA". It matches the Rfam family "Bacterial small subunit ribosomal RNA", at positions 92 to 354 of the family's 1533-position model. The record is from RNAcentral.